This 496-nucleotide ribosomal RNA is filed under the name uncultured bacterium. RNAcentral's name for it is "partial 16S ribosomal RNA". It matches the Rfam family "Bacterial small subunit ribosomal RNA", at positions 28 to 506 of the family's 1533-position model. The record is from RNAcentral.
GAUGAACGCUGGCGGCGUGCCUAAUACAUGCAAGUCGAGCGAACAGACGAGGAGCUUGCUCCUCUGACGUUAGCGGCGGACGGGUGAGUAACACGUGGAUAACCUACCUAUAAGACUGGGAUAACUUCGGGAAACCGGAGCUAAUACCGGAUAAUGUAUUGAACCGCAUGGUUCAAUAGUGAAAGACGGUUUUGCUGUCACUUAUAGAUGGAUCCGCGCCGCAUUAGCUAGUUGGUAAGGUAACGGCUUACCAAGGCAACGAUGCGUAGCCGACCUGAGAGGGUGAUCGGCCACACUGGACCUGAGACACGGUCCAGACUCCUACGGGAGGCAGCAGUAGGGAAUCUUCCGCAAUGGGCGAAAGCUUGACGGAGCAACGCCGCGUGAGUGAUGAAGGUCUUCGGAUCGUAAAACUCUGUUAUUAGGGAAGAACAAAUGUGUAAGUAACUAUGCACGUCUUGACGGUACCUAAUCAGAAAGCCACGGCUAACUACGU